This is a long non-coding RNA of Oreochromis aureus, 502 nucleotides long. NCBI's taxonomy places the organism in Eukaryota, Metazoa, Chordata, Actinopteri, Cichliformes, Cichlidae. The record is from Ensembl.
AGGGAAAUGGCUAGUGUCCCUGACACAAUCUUUAGUUUCAGCUGGACUUCAUAUUAGUGGCUGUCGCUUGAAAAUGAAGAAGCAGAUGCACUCUCUAAGGGGAUGCUGUUUUGGGUAUAACAGGAGGAGAGAAGCUGCAGAGAGGUGUGCAAAACUGCAACGCUGCUUCCUGGUCCCAACUCUGGAUACUCUGGAUUUUAGAGGGUUUAUUAAAUUUGGCCAGAUUUCUACAAUGAGAGCUGUUCCACACAAAGUCAAGGGAUGACUUUACUCCUAACAAGACCAAUUUUGCCCCACAAAGUUUCCCACUAUUUAUAAAGCCCAAAUCAUUUUUUGGAAACCAUUCAAACAGUCAGCAUUUUAAGGAGAUUAUGCCGCUAAUCAUGACAUUCCUGGUCUGAUUAGCGAGAGAACCAGAGAAGACUACAGAAUUUUGGCAAAGUUACACACCAAUUCAAUAUUAAUUUUAGUGACCUCCGGUUCAUGUAACCGAGUAUCAUUA